RNAcentral lists this ribosomal RNA (352 nucleotides) under uncultured bacterium. RNAcentral describes it as "partial 16S ribosomal RNA". It matches the Rfam family "Bacterial small subunit ribosomal RNA", at positions 338 to 682 of the family's 1533-position model. The record is from RNAcentral.
CCUACGGGUGGCAGCAGUGGGGAAUAUUGCGCAAUGGGCGAAAGCCUGACGCAGCGAUGCCGCGUGAGGGAUGAAGGUCUUCGGAUCGUAAACCUCUGUCAGCAGGGAAGAACGGUCACGGUGCUAAGCAGCAGUGAAUUGACGGUACCUGCAAAGGAAGCACCGGCUAACUCCGAGCCAGCAGCCGCGGUAAUACGGAGGGUGCGAGCGUUAAUCGGAAUUACUGGGCGGAAAGCGCUCGUAGGCGGUAUGUCAAGGCAAGGGUGAAAUCCCCGCGCUCAACGUGGGAACUGCCUUUGACACUGGCAACCUGGAGUGUGUGAGAGGCUAGUGGAAUUCCAGGUGUAGGCGU